Molecule: long non-coding RNA, 384 nt
Filed under: Solanum tuberosum (potato)
Lineage: Eukaryota; Viridiplantae; Streptophyta; Magnoliopsida; Solanales; Solanaceae
Description: long non-coding RNA (STUB_LNC011844)
Source: RNAcentral
GUGUGACCUUAUAAUUUUCCUAUAUUUUAAACCAAAAUAAUGUAUUCCCCCCAAUAUAUUUAACUCUCCCUCCAAUUUCUAAUUGGCAAAAAAUAACCUCAAUAUAAACAUAACUCUAAAAACGUUUUGCCCCAAAUUAAAAUGCUCUCCUAGUUGCUAUUUGCCUAUAUCACUGCUCAAAAGUUAAACCCUACUUUCUCUCCUUCUCAUUUCCACCCCAAAAAUUCUCCAUUGUAACUUUAUUGAUGUUUGGUUGUGAUUUCCUUAAUCGUUCUUCACCUUUAUGGGAGAGACUAAAAAAACAAUUCGAAGAAUUCCAGAUCUGGAGGAAUCAGAGACUCUACAUGCUAUGGCGAUGGAGAUAGAUUCAGCCACUCAGCUCAU